This 339-nucleotide ribosomal RNA is filed under the name uncultured bacterium. RNAcentral's name for it is "bacterial SSU rRNA". It matches the Rfam family "Bacterial small subunit ribosomal RNA", at positions 1034 to 1362 of the family's 1533-position model. The record is from RNAcentral.
ACAGGUGGUGCAUGGUUGUUGUCAGCUCGUGUCGUGAGAUGUUGGGUUAAGUCCCGCAACGAGCGCAACCCUCGUUCUAUGUUGCCAGCAGGUUAUGGUGGGGACUCAUAGGAGACUGCCGGGGUCAACUCGGAGGAAGGUGGGGAAGACGUCAAAUCAUCAUGCCCCUUAUGUCCUGGGCUUCACCCAUGCUACAAUGGCCGGUACAAAGGGCUGCGAUACCGUAAGGUGGAGCGAAUCCCAAAAAGCCGGUUUCCAGUUCGGANUGAGCGUGUUGCAACUCUGAGCCUCAUGAAGUUGGAGUACGCCUAGUAAUACGCAGAUCAGCAAACGUNGCGG